GCCGAUGUGGCUCAGUUGGUUAGAGCACUGUGUUGUGCUCUGAAGACUCAUGGGUUCGACUCCCAUUUGGGGCA
RNAcentral lists this transfer RNA (74 nucleotides) under Myotis brandtii (Brandt's bat). It matches the Rfam family "tRNA". Rfam says of the family: Transfer RNA (tRNA) molecules are approximately 80 nucleotides in length. The record is from Rfam by way of RNAcentral. Lineage: Eukaryota; Metazoa; Chordata; Mammalia; Chiroptera; Vespertilionidae.